RNAcentral lists this ribosomal RNA (519 nucleotides) under Triticum aestivum (bread wheat). RNAcentral's name for it is "partial small subunit ribosomal RNA". The record is from RNAcentral. Lineage: Eukaryota; Viridiplantae; Streptophyta; Magnoliopsida; Poales; Poaceae.
AUGUCCCGCUUCGUGCGGCGCCUCGCCGGCAUCCCGUGGCGCCAGAUCGCCGGGGAGGCCUUCUCCGUCGGCCUGCUAACGGCGCAGGGCCUCUGCGCCGUCCACGUCGUCAGCGAGCACGUCCUCGGCGUCGCCUUCCCGCGGGGCCCCAGCAUGCUGCCGGCGCUCAACAUGGCGGGGGACGUGCUGCUGACCGACAAGGUGAGCCCGCGGCGCGGGUGGGUGGGGCCGGGGGACGUCGUGCUCCUCCUCUCGCCGGAGGACCCGCGCAAGAUCGUCGCCAAGCGCGUGCUCGGGAUGGAGGGCGACGAGGUCACCUACCCCGUCGACGCCGGCAACAGCGAUGCCACCAAGACCGUCGUGGUACCACAAGGUCAUAUUUGGGUGCAGGGUGACAAUAUCUAUUCAUCUAAUGACUCGAGGCAGUUCGGACCGGUGCCUUACGGUCUCGUAAAAGGGAAGAUGUCCUAUCGGAUUUGGCCACCGUCAAGGAUUGGUGCAAUUGAUUCAAAAGAGUAG